This 1342-nucleotide long non-coding RNA is filed under the name Calidris pugnax (ruff). RNAcentral's name for it is "lncRNA (ENSCPUG00000006847.1)". The record is from RNAcentral. Lineage: Eukaryota; Metazoa; Chordata; Aves; Charadriiformes; Scolopacidae.
AUUUCAGAGUCUGCUGGAAAAUCAUAGAAUCAUAGAAUCAUUGAGGUUGGAAGAGACCCUUGGGAUCAUCAAGUCCAACCAUCUAUCUCCCCUACUCUACAAAGUCCUCCCCUACACCAUGUCCCUCAGCACUGCAUCUAAACGUCCCUUCAACACAUCCAGGGACGGUGACUCCACCACCUCCCUGGGCAGCCUGUUCCAAUGCCCGACCACUCUUUCAGUGAAAAAUUCUAUUGUUAAUUACCUGUGAGAAGAGACCAGCACCAACCUCUCUACAGUGUCCUUUCAAGUAGUUGUAGAGAGUGAUGAGGUCUCCCCUCAGCCUCCUCUUCCUCACACUAAACAGUCCCAGCUCCCUCAGCCGCUCCUCAUACGAUUUGUUUUCCAGCCCCCUCACCAGCUCCGUUGCCCUCCUCUGCACUCGCUCCAGCACCUCGAUAUCUCUCUUGGAUUGAGGUGCCCAAAACUGGACACAACACUCCAGGUGUGGCCUCCCCAGUGCUGAGUACAGGGGCACAAUCACCUCCCUAUUUCUGCUGGUCACACUAUUUUUGAUACAAGCCAGGAUGCCAUUGGCUUUCUUGCCCCCCUGGGCACACGGCCGGCUCAUAUUCAGCCGCUUGUCAAUUAGAACCCCCCCAAUUAGAACCCAAAUGUCUCCUGGGAGAGGAACCGGAUACAUCAACGCAAUGAACAGCCAGAAAAAAGGGACUUCAUGUCAUCGCCGAGUGGAGGUCUCAGCCCAGGGUUGGUGGUUUGGGUUGGGGCUGCAUCUUGCCACAUUGGGGCAACCUCUCGUCCCCUCAUCCCCUCGCAGAGCAAACAUGGUGACUUGGAUGCCUGCAGCUUUUGGGACCCACAAAACAAGCUUUAUGGGGUAUUUUUAACCACACGAUUACUUUUGCUUCGAUACGGUGAGGAUGACGUCAACCUCAAUGAUUCUCCUCCUGUUGUGCAAUGUGAAGGUAUCUCCGGUUCCUUGGCGCUGGGACUUCCCCUCUUCCUCUUCCCCCUUCCUCCUCAUCCUCCUGGGAAAACUGGCAGAGCGAGUCCUCUCAGGCUGAAACUGCCCCUUCCUCCCCAACAAGGUCAUCGUCAGAGCUUAACCACCGGCUUUGUCCCAGCUUUGCUGAUGAUCAGAAAUGAGUUUCUUCCCCGAUUAAAAGCAGAUUAUAGGAACUCAAGUUCCAUCCCACAGCUCAUGCUGCAGUUUCAAAGACUCACACCCGCUUCUCCAACAUCCAUCCUCGCCAUGGGUUAACCAUUCAGUCUGCCAGAAUGAGACCAUGGAUUUACUCUUUCUUCAAAUAAAUGGAGGAAUUUUUGCCUAUUUUUCUCCUUU